UACAUGGGGUGCAAACGUUGCUCGGAAUUAUUGGGCGUAAAGCGCACGUAGGCGGUUCGUUAAGUCGGAUGUGAAAGCCCUCGGCUCAACUGAGGAAGUGCACCCGAAACUGGCGAGCUUGAGUACGAAAGAGGAUCGCGGAAUUCCCGGUGUAGAGGUGAAAUUCGUAGAUAUCGGGAGGAACAUCAGUGGCGAAGGCGGCCAUCUGGGACAACACUGACGCUGAGGCACGAAAGCGUGGGGAGCAAACAGG
This 253-nucleotide ribosomal RNA is filed under the name uncultured bacterium. Its description in RNAcentral is "partial 16S ribosomal RNA". It matches the Rfam family "Bacterial small subunit ribosomal RNA", at positions 524 to 776 of the family's 1533-position model. The record is from RNAcentral.